Molecule: ribosomal RNA, 345 nt
Filed under: Triticum aestivum (bread wheat)
Lineage: Eukaryota; Viridiplantae; Streptophyta; Magnoliopsida; Poales; Poaceae
Description: partial small subunit ribosomal RNA
Source: RNAcentral
AUGCAAGGUCAGUCAAAACGUUCUCGCAAGAAGAAAUUGAUGACACCAACAGUUCUUGAUACCCUAAAAAAUAAAACUAAAAGGGCCUAUAACAAGAGGAGGAAUGCCAUUGCGAACAACCUAUGCACAACGGUCACCGCAACUGACAGCAUAACAGAAAGCGCAAAUGUUAAGCAAGAUCAAGUAAAUGAGGGAUGGCCAUUAACAUCUAGUGGUGCACCAGAUACCUUCCCAUACGGAGUGGAGACCAUAUCUUUCGAUUUGACACAAUACAACAAUGCGCCAAGCUUCCAUUGGCCUGAAAAGCAGCAGAUCUCAGCUUCAGUGAAAGGAGGCAACACUUAG